RNAcentral lists this ribosomal RNA (447 nucleotides) under uncultured bacterium. RNAcentral's name for it is "partial 16S ribosomal RNA". It matches the Rfam family "Bacterial small subunit ribosomal RNA", at positions 29 to 523 of the family's 1533-position model. The record is from RNAcentral.
AACGAACGCUGGCGGCAGGCUUAACACAUGCAAGUCGAACGCCCCGCAAGGGGAGUGGCAGACGGGUGAGUAACGCGUGGGAAUCUACCGUGCCCUGCGGAAUAGCUCCGGGAAACUGGAAUUAAUACCGCAUACGCCCUACGGGGGAAAGAUUUAUCGGGGUAUGAUGAGCCCGCGUUGGAUUAGCUAGUUGGUGGGGUAAAGGCCUACCAAGGCGACGAUCCAUAGCUGGUCUGAGAGGAUGAUCAGCCACAUUGGGACUGAGACACGGCCCAAACUCCUACGGGAGGCAGCAGUGGGGAAUAUUGGACAAUGGGCGCAAGCCUGAUCCAGCCAUGCCGCGUGAGUGAUGAAGGCCUUAGGGUUGUAAAGCUCUUUCACCGAUGAAGAUAAUGACGGUAGUCGGAGAAGAAGCCCCGGCUAACUUCGUGCCAGCAGCCGCCGUAA